CGCGAAUGGCUCAUUACAACAGCCAUAGUUUAUUGGAUCUUAAAGUCCUACUUGGAUAACUGUGGUAAUUCUAGAGCUAAUACACGCAAUUAAACCCCAACCUGACGGGCGGGGUGCAUUUAUUAGAACAAAACCAAUUGGCUUCGGCCAUUCAUUGGUGAAUCUGAAUAACUACGCUGAUCGCAUGGUCUAGCACCGGCGACAUAUCCUUCAAGUGUCUGCCUUAUCAACUGUCGAUGGUAGUCUAUAAGCCUACCAUGGUUGUAACGGGUAACGGAGAAUAAGGGUUCGACUCCGGAGAGGGAGCCUGAGAAACGGCUACCACAUCCAAGGAAGGCAGCAGGCGCGCAAAUUACCCACUCUCAGAACGAGGAGGUAGUGACGAAAAAUAACGAGACAGUUCUCUAUGAGGUCUGUCAUCGGAAUGGGUACAAUCUAAACCCUUUAACGAGGAUCUAUUGGAGGGCAAGUCUGGUGCCAGCAGCCGCGGUAAUUCCAGCUCCAAUAGCGUAUAUUAAAGUUGUUGCGGUUAAAAAGCUCGUAGUUGGAUCUGCGGUCAUUAACUCCGGUUUCCUUUUCGGAAUACUGGUUGUUGUGACCUACCUCGCUGGUUGUCUCUUGGUGCUCUUCAUUGAGUGCCUUGAGUGGCUAGCACGUUUACUUUGAAAAAAUUAGAGUGCUUAACGCAGGCUUUUGCCUGAAUAGUGGUGCAUGGAAUAAUGGAAUAGGACCUCGGUUCUAUUUUGUUGGUUUUCGGAGCACGAGGUAAUGAUUAAGAGGGACAGACGGGGGCAUUCGUACUGCUGCGUUAGAGGUGAAAUUCUUGGAUCGCAGCAUGACGAACAACUGCGAAAGCAUUUGCCAAGAAUGUUUUCAUUAAUCAAGAACGAUAGUUAGAAGGUUCGAAGGCGAUCAGAUACCGCCC
Molecule: ribosomal RNA, 925 nt
Filed under: Nematoda environmental sample
Lineage: Eukaryota; Metazoa; Nematoda
Description: SSU rRNA
Rfam family: Eukaryotic small subunit ribosomal RNA
Source: RNAcentral